AGUGAUACACUACUAAAGUAGUUCAACCAUAAAACACAUGCAAACAUCGACCUUCACUCGGCCACCCACAUCAACACUACACCGACCAUUAUUCGACCGCAUUCACACACACCAACACCACAAUAACCCUCACUCGGCCACAUACACACACACUAACACCCUAACAGCCCUCGCUCGGCCACCCACACACUAACACCCAACGACCUCACUCAGCCAUCCACACACACUCUAACCCCCAAUGACCCUCACUUAGCCACCCACCUCAACCACACCAGCCACACACGCACAUCCUCACCACACCAGCCCUCACCCAACAGCCACCAAGUGACCAUACGCACGCAUACAGUUCUGCCACUAUUGGUAACCCACCGGCUACCCCUAGCCCACACACACACCAUUCCACCAUUAUUGGCUAAUCACCGAUCGUAUCAAAGCCACACACGCACUACAUUGUCUUGGUUCGCCUCUCAAUGGCUAUUCCAAGGCCACACACACACUAUUCCGCCACACCGGUACUCACCGGCCCUCCUCAAGGCCACACACACUAUUCCGCCACCAUUGGCACCCACCGACCAUCAUAUGGCCACAUACUCAUCCCACUACGCCAUCACUGGCAACCGACCAUUGAAUGGCCACUCAUACAACACACACAGCCCUUAUCGACACAUUAGAACACACACUCCUUCAAAAUCCAGUGAUGCUCCCAGAUUGUUUUACCUAUUUUCACCCUUAUCUCUCUAUCUCCACACAAUUCCUUCCUAUCAUCCCUAACCUCGACUCAGACGUUCUUACUACCUGAACUUUCUGCAACAUUAUUUAUUUCCUUUCUCCUUUCUCUUCUCAUAAACCAGAAAGUAAAAAUUCAAGGUGAAUCGCAAUAUUGAAAUUCAAAACUUUUUUACCCUUUUCUAGUAUUCGAUACUCACUUACCAAAAAAUCCGGCAAGAAUUUCAUAAUUGAUUUACCAUUACAAAGUUCACCAUUCAAAAUCCACUUACCUUUCCUUUCCGAGUGGGGUGUCGGAUCGCCUUCAUCUGUGGUUGCACUCUGAUAAAGUCUCUCGCGCUACCUCCUCCUUCUUAGCCUUGCGAGAGUUGCUUUCUCCUUUCUUUCUUAGUCGAGCUUUCUCCCUUUUUUCUUUAUAUUAACCUCACCCUCAAACCCUUCUGAUGUUGCAGAUGAGAAGAAGAAAAAGAAAGCUAUUCA
RNAcentral lists this long non-coding RNA (1206 nucleotides) under Carica papaya (papaya). Its description in RNAcentral is "long non-coding RNA (CPAP_LNC011718)". The record is from RNAcentral. Lineage: Eukaryota; Viridiplantae; Streptophyta; Magnoliopsida; Brassicales; Caricaceae.